This 254-nucleotide ribosomal RNA is filed under the name uncultured bacterium. Its description in RNAcentral is "partial 16S ribosomal RNA". It matches the Rfam family "Bacterial small subunit ribosomal RNA", at positions 524 to 776 of the family's 1533-position model. The record is from RNAcentral.
UACGUAGGGUGCAAGCGUUAAUCGGAAUUACUGGGCGUAAAGCGUGCGCAGGCGGUUUUGUAAGUCUGUCGUGAAAUCCCCGGGCUCAACCUGGGAAUGGCAUUUGGGACUGCAAGGCUGGAGUGCGGCAGAGGAGACUGGAAUUCCUGGUGUAGCAGUGAAAUGCGUAGAUAUCAGGAGGAAUACCGAUGGGCGAAGGCAGGUCUCUGGGAUAACACUGACGCUCAUGCACGAAAGCGUGGGGAGCAAACAGG